CAAUCCAUGAGUAAAGUGGCGUACGGGUGAGUAACACGUGGAUAACCUGCCCUUUAGUGGGGAAUACCGNUGGGAAACCGGCGACAAUACCGCAUAAGCUCGAGAGAGGAAAGCAGCNUGCGCUGAAGGAGGGGUCCGCGGCCGAUUAGCUAGUUGGUAGGGUAAUGGCCUACCAAGGCUGUGAUCGGUAGCCGGCCUGAGAGGGCACACGGCCACACUGGCACUGAAACACGGGCCAGACUCCUACGGGAGGCAGCAGUGGGGAAUCUUGCACAAUGGAGGAAACUCUGAUGCAGCGACGCCGCGUGAGCGAUGAAGCCCUUCGGGGUGUAAAGCUCUUUCGGCAGGGAAGAUUAUGACGNUACCUGCAGAAGCAGCUGCGGCUAACUACGUGCCANCAGCCGCGGUAAUACGUAGGCAGCAA
RNAcentral lists this ribosomal RNA (424 nucleotides) under uncultured bacterium. RNAcentral describes it as "bacterial SSU rRNA". It matches the Rfam family "Bacterial small subunit ribosomal RNA", at positions 80 to 537 of the family's 1533-position model. The record is from RNAcentral.